GCUUCGGGAGUUGAAACAAUGACCUCCCAUUAAAACCCUUGGAGUCACAGGGAGAAACAGAUUUCUAGAAUUGGACCUAAAUCUGUUCAUUCUUAUUUUUCCUAUUUUUGGCUACCUGAAGAAACCAACAAUAUUUGUUCCCUGGGUAUUUUGAAGUUCACCAUAAAUAAUACCACUCGGUUUAGAAAACUGUGUAUUCAGUUCCUCAGAGAAUGGAUUAUCUAAUUACGUGUCUGUGUUUACAUGGAACAGGUAGUCCAAUCCACGAAAGUGUGAGAACCAUGAGCCUAGUCUCGACCUCAGGAGUUGCCUGAGGAAACUGAUGCUAAAAAUCCAAGUUGCAAAUCAAAAUAUUAGAAAAAUCAAGCCAUGCUCUAGACUUGGAAGCCCGACACUUAGAUCAUCUCUCUCUGAGCAGAGCCAGCUGUUGGCCCCCAUAGGAGUUGGAGACUUGGAAUCCCCUUUGGUGCAGAAACUAUUCCUUCAUGAGAAGAAGUCCUUAAAUAGGCUCUUUAGGUAAGAGAUAUAAGAGAUAUAAAGCAAAUGCCCUGUAGGAAAAAACUGUG
This 566-nucleotide long non-coding RNA is filed under the name Homo sapiens (human). Its description in RNAcentral is "non-protein coding RASGRF2-AS1:6". The record is from RNAcentral. Lineage: Eukaryota; Metazoa; Chordata; Mammalia; Primates; Hominidae.